Molecule: ribosomal RNA, 448 nt
Filed under: uncultured bacterium
Lineage: Bacteria
Description: bacterial SSU rRNA
Rfam family: Bacterial small subunit ribosomal RNA
Source: RNAcentral
AAUGAACGCUGGCGGCAUGCCUAACACAUGCAAGUCGAACGAGACCUUCGGGUCUAGUGGCGCACGGGUGCGUAACGCGUGGGAAUCUGCCCUUGGGUUCGGAAUAACAGUUAGAAAUGACUGCUAAUACCGAAUGAUGUCGUAAGACCAAAGAUUCAUCGCCCAGGGAUGAGCCCGCGUAGGAUUAGCUAGUUGGUGUGGUAAAAGCGCACCAAGGCGACGAUCCAGCUGGUCUGAGAGGAUGAUCAGCCACACUGGGACUGAGACACGGCCCAGACUCCUACGGGAGGCAGCAGUGGGGAAUAUUGGACAAUGGGGCAACCCUGAUCCAGCAAUGCCGCGUGGAUGAAGAAGGUCUUCGGAUUGUAAAGUCCUUUCGGCGGGGGACGAUGAUGACGGUACCCGCAGAAGAACGCCCCGGCUAACUUCGUGCCAGCCGCCGCCGUAA